RNAcentral lists this ribosomal RNA (253 nucleotides) under uncultured bacterium. RNAcentral describes it as "partial 16S ribosomal RNA". It matches the Rfam family "Bacterial small subunit ribosomal RNA", at positions 524 to 776 of the family's 1533-position model. The record is from RNAcentral.
UACGGAGGGUGCGAGCGUUGUCCGGAAUCAUUGGGCGUAAAGGGCGCGUAGGUGGUGGGGUCAGUUUGUGGUGAAAGCGCGGGGCUCAACUCCGCGUCGGCCAUGAAUACUGCUUCACUUGAGCACUGUAGAGGCAGGCGGAAUUCCGGGAGUAGCGGUGGAAUGCGUAGAGAUCCGGAAGAACACCGGUGGCGAAGGCGGCCUGCUGGGCAGUAGCUGACACUGAGGCGCGACAGCGUGGGGAGCAAACAGG